RNAcentral lists this non-coding RNA (30 nucleotides) under Rattus norvegicus (Norway rat). The record is from RNAcentral. Lineage: Eukaryota; Metazoa; Chordata; Mammalia; Rodentia; Muridae.
UAACAAAUUCUGACAAUUCUUGGAGGUCUC